This 441-nucleotide ribosomal RNA is filed under the name uncultured bacterium. Its description in RNAcentral is "partial 16S ribosomal RNA". It matches the Rfam family "Bacterial small subunit ribosomal RNA", at positions 338 to 795 of the family's 1533-position model. The record is from RNAcentral.
CCUACGGGGGGCAGCAGUGGGGAAUAUUGCACAAUGGGGGAAACCCUGAUGCAGCGACGCCGCGUGAGUGAAGAAGUAUUUCGGUAUGUAAAGCUCUAUCAGCAGGGAAGAAAAUGACGGUACCUGACUAAGAAGCCCCGGCUAACUACGUGCCAGCAGCCGCGGUAAUACGUAGGGGGCAAGCGUUAUCCGGAUUUACUGGGUGUAAAGGGAGCGUAGGUGGCAUGGUAAGCCAGAAGUGAAAACCCGGGGCUCAACCCCGCGGAUUGCUUUUGAAACUAUCAGGCUGGAGUGCUGGAGGGGUAGGCGGAAUUCCUAGUGUAGCGGUGAAAUGCGUAGAUAUUAGGAGGAACACCGGUGGCGAAGGCGGCUUGCUGGACAGAAACUGACACUGAGGCUCGAAAGCGUGGGGAGCAAACAGGAUUAGAUACCCCAGUAGUC